This 282-nucleotide ribosomal RNA is filed under the name uncultured Pseudomonas sp. RNAcentral's name for it is "partial 16S ribosomal RNA". It matches the Rfam family "Bacterial small subunit ribosomal RNA", at positions 1100 to 1382 of the family's 1533-position model. Lineage: Bacteria; Pseudomonadati; Pseudomonadota; Gammaproteobacteria; Pseudomonadales; Pseudomonadaceae. The record is from RNAcentral.
AACCCUUGUCCUUAGUUACCAGCACGUUAUGGUGGGCACUCUAAGGAGACUGCCGGUGACAAACCGGAGGAAGGUGGGGAUGACGUCAAGUCAUCAUGGCCCUUACGGCCUGGGCUACACACGUGCUACAAUGGUCGGUACAAAGGGUUGCCAAGCCGCGAGGUGGAGCUAAUCCAUAAAACCGAUCGUAGUCCGGAUCGCAGUCUGCAACUCGACUGCGUGAAGUCGGAAUCGCUAGUAAUCGUGAAUCAGAAUGUCACGGUGAAUACGUUCCCGGGCCUU